UACAUAGGGAGCAAGCGUUAUCCGGAAUGAUUGGGCGUAAAGCGCGUGUAGGUGGUUGUCCAAGUUGGAUGUGAAAGCCUUGAGCUCAACUCAAGAAAUGCAUUCAGGACUGGGCGGCUAGAGGACCGGAGAGGAUAGUGGAAUUCCCAGUGUAGUGGUGAAAUACGUAGAGAUUGGGAAGAACACCAGUGGCGAAGGCGGCUAUCUGGACGGUUUCUGACACUAAGACUCGAAAGCGUGGGGAGCAAACAGG
RNAcentral lists this ribosomal RNA (253 nucleotides) under uncultured bacterium. RNAcentral describes it as "partial 16S ribosomal RNA". It matches the Rfam family "Bacterial small subunit ribosomal RNA", at positions 524 to 776 of the family's 1533-position model. The record is from RNAcentral.